Molecule: long non-coding RNA, 328 nt
Organism: Polypterus senegalus (gray bichir)
Lineage: Eukaryota; Metazoa; Chordata; Cladistia; Polypteriformes; Polypteridae
Exons: 3
Source: RefSeq, a predicted model, not a curated record
CAGAAGUUUUUCUCCCAAAGUCACAGUGACCUGAUCAUUCCUGUAGUUAAAAAAGAACAAGUAGUUGAAAAUGGAGGCACAUAGAAAAAACAUUUAUCUUUUUCUUUUCAAAAGACCCAUGCUUCAGGCACAGGUCUAGGUGCUGUGCUGAGCCAAACUAUUGAUGGUGCUGAACACCCGAUAAUGUACCUGAGCUGGAAACUGUUGGACUGGAAAACCAGAUAAUGAGAAGAAUAAAAGGUACAAUAAGAAGACUGGCAGACGAUUCCAUUCACCCGUUAAACCCUCCACUUCCGACCUUACCUCACGACUGCACUCCCGACUUUUC